GUCUAUGGCCAUGCCACCCUGAACGUGCCCAAUGUCUGAUCUCGGAAGCUAAGCAGGGUCCAGCCUGGUUAGUACUUGGAUGGGAGACCACCUAGGAAUAUCAGGUGCUGCAGGCA
This 116-nucleotide ribosomal RNA is filed under the name Pteropus alecto (black flying fox). RNAcentral also lists the same sequence under 1 other name. Lineage: Eukaryota; Metazoa; Chordata; Mammalia; Chiroptera; Pteropodidae. The record is from RNAcentral.